This 254-nucleotide ribosomal RNA is filed under the name uncultured bacterium. RNAcentral's name for it is "partial 16S ribosomal RNA". It matches the Rfam family "Bacterial small subunit ribosomal RNA", at positions 524 to 777 of the family's 1533-position model. The record is from RNAcentral.
UACGAAGGGGGCUAGCGUUGCUCGGAAUCACUGGGCGUAAAGGGUGCGUAGGCGGGUUUUUAAGUCAGGGGUGAAAUCCUGGAGCUCAACUCCAGAACUGCCUUUGAUACUGAAGAUCUUGAGUUCGGGAGAGGUGAGUGGAACUGCGAGUGUAGAGGUGAAAUUCGUAGAUAUUCGCAAGAACACCAGUGGCGAAGGCGGCUCACUGGCCCGAUACUGACGCUGAGGCACGAAAGCGUGGGGAGCAAACAGGG